AACGAACGCUGGCGGCAUGCCUAACACAUGCAAGUCGAACGAGACCUUCUGGUCUAGUUGCGCGCGGGUGCGUAAAGCCGUGGAACCUUCCCUUAGGUUGGGAAUAACUCCCCGAAAAGGGUGGUAAUAACGGAUAAUGUCUUCGAACCAAAGAUUUAACGCGGUUGGGUGGGCCCUCGUGUGAUUAUCGAGUUGGGAGGGUAAAAGCCUACAAAGGCGACGAUACAUAGCUGGGCUGAGAGGAUGAUCAGCCACACUGGGACUGAGACGCGGCCCAGACUCCUACGAGAGGGAGCAGUGGGGAAUAUUGGACAAUGGGCGAAAGUCUGAUCCAGCAAUGGCGCGUGAGUGAUGAAGGCCUUAGUGUUGUAAAGCUCUUUUACCAGGGAUGAUAAUGACAGUACCGGGAGAAUAAGCACCGGCUAACUCCGUG
This 433-nucleotide ribosomal RNA is filed under the name uncultured bacterium. RNAcentral's name for it is "partial 16S ribosomal RNA". It matches the Rfam family "Bacterial small subunit ribosomal RNA", at positions 29 to 507 of the family's 1533-position model. The record is from RNAcentral.